AUGUCUUAUAGCACGACGCCCAGAGUUUUGUCCUAUAGCGUUAAACAUUUAGAAGGUGAUAAUAAACGAAAGCACGUGGAAAAAUAAGAGACACCUGGCAUAGAGGACCCAUAUUUAAUACCCAAGUCGAUGUUUUCGUUGAUAAGAAAGUGGACUGUAAACCCGCUUCUGCUUAUCUUGGACAACAGGAUCUACAUAUGUAUCUGAAUAUUUUGCAGAAUUUCUCAAAUGUUCAGCAGCAACAUUUGCUUAAUUCGAUAGCGGAGAUGCCAGUGGAAUUCCUCAUGAUGUAGAGGAGUUCUGAUAAGGACCGGCAAAUACAGCAAGCAACUACCUGCAGGUCAGAGACUGAAGUGUUCCCUGCUGCUACAGCACCACAAAAACAUUCACGGGCGCUCGCAGUAGCCCGAGGCGCACUUUUGAUCAAAC
Syngnathoides biaculeatus (alligator pipefish) is the source of this 429-nucleotide long non-coding RNA. RefSeq lists it as uncharacterized. The transcript is spliced from 3 exons. The record is from RefSeq and is a predicted model, not a curated record. Lineage: Eukaryota; Metazoa; Chordata; Actinopteri; Syngnathiformes; Syngnathidae.